RNAcentral lists this unclassified non-coding RNA (240 nucleotides) under Hevea brasiliensis (rubber tree). The record is from RNAcentral. Lineage: Eukaryota; Viridiplantae; Streptophyta; Magnoliopsida; Malpighiales; Euphorbiaceae.
UGUAGAAAAGAAGGAGGCACUUGAGAACUUGGACCUCAUUUUACUGUGUCUUGAUGAAAUUAUUGACGGAGGCAUUAUUCUCGAGACGGAUGCAAAUGUCAUUGCAGGGAAGGUCGCAAGUCACAGUAUUGACAGUGGUGCUCCUUUGUCUGAGCAGACAAUAAGUCAAGCAUUGGCCACAGCUCGCGAACAUCUAGCAAGAUCUCUUCUCAAGUAAUAUGUUUUCCUGAUAAAAGUGAG